UUUGCUGUAAUAACGGCGGAAAACUCGCUCGUGCCAUCGUCGUCUUCACGAUGUCACGGCAGGUGUUCCCACGUUAAUCCCAAUU
This 85-nucleotide microRNA precursor is filed under the name Schmidtea mediterranea. Its description in RNAcentral is "mir-2147 microRNA precursor family". It matches the Rfam family "mir-2147 microRNA precursor family". Lineage: Eukaryota; Metazoa; Platyhelminthes; Tricladida; Dugesiidae. The record is from Rfam by way of RNAcentral.